CUGGAGCUGGUCUGACCCCCUGGUUCUGCUGAGUGACCUUGAGCUAUCACUUUCCCAAUAAGUGUGCAACAGGAUGGCAUUUCUAACCACAGGAACAUUUAAAGGAUUAGCUGUGGCCCCUGAGGCUUUUUAGAAAAGGUAAAGGCAAUUAAUUCUUACUUAUCCAGUACUGGAUAGUUUAAAAGACAGACUCUGCAUUGUCUAGAUUAUGGAAAGCCUUGGAUCCCUUACUUCUAAGAACCAUAAUCAGCUUAAAAAGGCUUGAAACUGUGAGUGCUCAGAAUUUCCUGUUGAGGAUCGGCACUGACGCUGUGGUUGCUCCCAGGAAAUGAAGCAGGGUCAGGUAACAGCCUCAAAGACCUGGGUCACGGAGAAUGUGACUCCUGACAACAUUCCCUUAAGGGGAACUUGAGAAUGGAAAACAAUAAAGGAGAAUCCUGGGCCCUCACGUGUGAGGGUACAGAAGUGGGGUGAGAGGACCAAGUAGAAGCCAAUCCCAAGGGAUUUAGGAACAAGUAUUCCUUGAAACAGCAAACACCAGCAAAUGCCUAACUUCGCUAUUCUGCAGUUUACUGGCCAGGAAGUGAAAUGCCUCGCCAAAGACUUUGCAAGGGAAAGAUAACAUCUGUGGGGGAAUGUUUGGAUUCAGUCUUGGCUUUUGGUGGAGGAAGACUCAUCAUUCUGUUUGGGAGAAGCAAGAAAACACAUUAGUUAUGUGACCAAAGCUUGGUGGAAAGGAAUGUACCUUUAUACAUUUUAAAACACAGAUGCUGUCUUGAGUCUGGCACCUGUUAACCUGGCACUUAGACCGCUUGGCCGCAGUGCGAGAUGACUGGACCAGAGGCUGCUGCAUCUCAGUAAAAAGUAGCAGAGGAUGUCCUGGACUGAGAACAGAUUAUGUGGGAUCUCCCAUAUCUUCUCAACACAGAAGUCAUCUGCAUGGAGAAUGUGUACUCAGUUCUGCCUGAGUUACCAAAGGAAUCUUCUUUCCUCCCCCUCGUACUGUUCUUGGGGAGGUGGAAAGGCAGAUUAUACUUUCUACCAUAAUUUCAAUAGUUGUUCAAGCAAAAGGAUGAAAACAACGAUUUUGGUCUAACUAUCUUGUUUAAACAGGAAAUGAAACCGGUCAAGAAGCCUAUUCUCUAAGCAUUCCCUGAACAUUCUACUUCCUAUGUUUCUCAAUCCACUGUCCUGUGUCCCCAAACUGAUGUAAUAAGAAUUAAAAUGAUGUCCAGAUUGAAAUCUUAGACUUACCUAUGACUCAUUAAAUUCUCAAAGGAUAGCUUCAGAUUAUGAGGGAUUAUCAAAGUUCUUGGUUGUACCUGAGGAAGAAAAUCUCAUUUAGAGCAGUGCCCCAACCUCUAUUCUAAUUUAAAUAAAUAAUGCACCACCUUAGCGAACUCAAGUUGUAUCUAGUAUUAGAAUCAUUCACAUAUUCUUUUGUGACAUGAAUGAACCAGAGGGGAUCACCUACCCACAACUCAUAAGGUCUAUGCUCUUCCCAGGUUAUCAGCUUUUAAAGUUAGAAACCUCAAGAUUGGUAAACCCUCCCAUUCUCUUCGUGGAGCUCACCUCCAAUAUCCUUCAGGUCUCAGAGCACCUGUCAGCCCCUCACAGACACCACUGACUCCCGGACCACUGUUAGGUAGUCCUCUGCCUUCCAUUCUCACUGUUUCCUAGGCUUCCUCUAUCAGAAUAUUCCUAAGGUUUUUAUUGUAUUUACUUGCUUGAUGUCUGGUUUCCCUCAUAGACUUUCAGCCUCACCACAUGUCUCUGUUUUUGUACUUCCAGGUUCUAACACAGUGACUGUUUAAGAAGUAUUUGUUGAUCAAAUUUGUGAAAUGAAUGAACCCCUUUUGAAGCACACUGGAAAGUUUUAAGUGUGUCCUUCACAUAGGACUAAAAUAAAUUAUAUGGUUACAGUAUUCCCGAUUAAGACAUUAUUUUCUUGAACUUUUCCAGGUUUGUUACUAGCACUAGACAUUGGUUUUCUUUUGGGGCUCAGGCUUUCACUGAGAAUCAUAUUCCCCCCAUUAUUUCUCAAAACGUAUUGUAGCCAUGACAAUGAAAAGACAGUAACAAAAUGUGAGUGCAGAUGUUCAGCUGGGCUACUCAUUGAGUGACUUGCGAUUUAAAUUCAUGACAGAGCAAGGGUGCCUGGUGGCUCAGUCAGUUAAGCGGUUAAGUGGUAAAGUGGUUAAGCAUCCAACUUCAGCUCAGGUCAUGAUCUCAAGGUCUGUGAGUUCAAGCCCCAUGUCCGGCUCUGUGCUCAGAGCCUGGAGCCUGCUUCAGUUUUGUGUCUCCCUCUCUCUCUGCACCUCUCCUGCUUGUGUUCGUUCUCUCUCUCAAAACUAAAAAAAUAAAUAAACUUAUGACACAACAAAACUGCAAAUUAAGGACCUUCAGAAGUGCUUGCAAAUAGAGAAAAAUCUGAAUAUUAAAUCUAUAGAAAUGCCAAGCACCUACUGUAUUUAAGCAGAUUGUUGUAACUCUUUAGUUGAGGGAAAGUGAGGGGAGGGGGAAGAAGAAAUGAUCCGGUAACCGGAGCAUCUGGGAGUGGUGAGGGCAGCAAAGACUUCGGUGAGAACCUGAGAAGAGGUUUCUAGAUACAUAGAAGGGAUGAGAAUGAAGGAGACACACUGCUUUUUUCCAAGUUUCUUCUGAAGUUGGCUCCGUUCUAAAGAAAUAUGGAGGAAACUCUCUACCUUCUCCUGAUUAGCAUGACCCCUUUUCAAAAGCCCCUAAAUCCAGCUAGUACUACUGUAUGCAUGAGUGGGCUACAGGGGCUCCCCCAGAACAAAGCUACCAUUUUGUCCCUGAGAAGAAGUGCGUCAUGUGGUCAACUCCUAUUCAGUCUUGAAAACCCUGCAUGGUCUUCUUCUUGGAAGACUUCCUGGAUAUCCACUUUCCAUGCUCGGCCCACCGGGUCCAUUUCUGUUUCUAUUCAUCAUUUUAUUGUCAUUAUUUGUUUAUCUGUUGGCUCCUUAAAGGCAAGGCUUAUGUCUUAUUCUUUUAUUUACUUAUUUUGCCUUCAUAGCCUAAGCACCUGGCCCAUGGUAAGCAAUCAAUACAUAUUUGUUUCAAUGAACUGAAUUACAUAGACUUUUGAAACCAGUUAAUUUACAUAUGUUAGAGAAUGCCUCUAACUUCCUACAGUAUGUUCACCUUGACAUCCUACUUUGAAGGGGCUUGAAAGCAUGUAUUAGAGAACAACGCAGAUAACAGAAGGACUACAAAAUAGAUGUUUUAAGGGGAAGCUCAGCUGUUUGGAGCAGAGAAGUGGCAAGAGACAGUUUACAUAAAAGUUAGGCGGAUACCCCUGGUGACUCACAACCAUAACUUUCAGUAGGCGUUACUUCCACACUAAAUAGUUGAGCUCCUGGUGUGGGGUACUCAUGCAGGUAUAUUAGUAGUUUAUACAUGCCAGGUCCUGUUUAGGAUUUUUCUGUUUUCGGUAUUCAUCCACUUUAUGCUUUUAUUUUUUUAAAUAUUUUUCUAGUGCUCAUCUUUUUGUAAAUCCAGACACCAUAAGAUUCACCAUCUCAGCGUACAACUCAGUAGUUUUUGGUAGUGUCACAAAGUCGGACAACCAUUGCCACUAUCUACUUCCAGAAGAUUUUCAUCAGCCCAGAAACUCUAUCCUCAUUAGCACUCAUUCUUCAAGUCUUUGGCAACCAUUACCCAUUUUCUAUUUCUAUAGAUUUGCCAAUGCUGGACAUUUCAUAUAAUGAAAUUAAUAUAACACGUGGCCUUUACUGCCUGGUUUCUUGUACAUAAUGAAAUGUUUUCAAGCUUUAUCCAGGUUGUAGCAUAUAGAAGUACUUUCUUUUGAUGGCUGAAUAAUAUUCCAUUGUAUGGAUUGAAUCACAUUUUGUUUAUGCAUUUAUCAGUUGAUAGACCGUUGAGGUAUUUUCAUUUUUUGGCUAUUAUGAGUAACGCUGCUAUGAACAUCCUUGUACAAGUUUGUGUAUGGACAUAUGUUGUCAGUUCUCUUGUGUAUAUAUCUAGUAUGGAAUUGGUGGGUCAUAUGGUGACUCUACAGUUUGAGGAAUUGCCAAACUGUUUCCUAAAGCAGCUGCAUUGUUUUACAUUCCCGCCAUGUGUGGGGGUCCCAGUUUCUCCAUAUCCUUGUCAACACUUGCUGUUGUCCACUUUUUUAUUUCAGCUGUUCUUGUGGAUAUAAAAUAAUAUCUCAUUAUGGUUUUGAUUGCAUUUUCCUAAAGGCUAAUGAUGUUAUGGAUCUUUUCAUGUGUUCAUUGGCCAUUUAUAUAUCUUCUUUGGAGAAAUGUUUUUUGAAAUUUCUUGUCCAAUUUGAAAUCGGGAUGUUUGUUUUUUAUUGUUGAGUUGUAAAUAGGGUUUUUUUGGGUAUAUUUUGGAUUCUUUUUUUCCCAUUCUGUGCAUUGUGUUUUCAUGUCCUUCGUGGUGUUCUUUGCAGCAAAAAAGUUUUUAAGCUUGAUGAAGUUGAAUUUAUGUAUUUUUGUUGUUAUUUGUGCUUUUGGUAACAUAUCUAAGAAACCAUUGCCUUAUUCAAGGUCAUGAAGAUUUACACCUGUUUUCCUCUAGAAGGUUUAUGUUCCAGCACUUACAAUUAGGUCUUUGAUCCAUUUGUAGUUAUUUUUUGUAUAUGAUGUGAGGAAGGGCACAGCUUCGCUGUUGUGCAUGUGAAUAUACAGUUGUCUAGGUACCAUUUACAUUAAUUUAUGUAAACGUAAAUUACAUUUAUAUUAAAUUAUCUUGACACCUUUGUUAAAAAUUAGCUGUUUGGGACCUCUUAUUCUAAUUCUUAUGGAGACUCCGGAUGUAUGUAAUUAAAUUUGAUUUUUUCUCGUUAAUUUUUUUAACUGUUCAAAAAUGUAAGGUUCUAUUUCUGGACUCUCAAUUCUGUCCCCCUGAUCUAUAUGUUUAUCCUUAGGCCAGUACCACAAAGUCCUGAUUACUGUAGCUUUAUAGUAAGUUUUGAAAUCAGGAAGUGUGAGUCCUGUAACUUUGUUUUUCUUUUUCAAGAUUGUCUUAAUUAUACUGCAUCUAUUGCAUUUCCAUAUGAAUUUUAAGAUCUGCUUGUUGGUUUCUUCAAAAAACUCAUAUGAGAUUUUGAGAACGAUUGCACUGAACGUGUAGACCAAUUUGGGAGUAUUGCCAGCUUAACAGUGCCAAGCAUUCCAAUCUGUAAUUAUGGUUUUUUUUCCAUUUGUUUAGGUCUUUUAAAAUUUAUUUAUAUGAUAUUUCAUAGCUUCUGAUGCACAAGUCUUGCAUUUAUUUUGUUAAAUUUAUUCCUAAGUAUUUUAAUUUUGUGAUGCUAUUGUAAAUGGAAUUGUUUUCUUAAUUUCAUUUUUGAAUUGUUCAUUGCUAAUAUAUAGAAAUAGAAUUGAUUUUUGUUAUACUAUCUUGUAUCCUGUAACUCUGCUAUACUCAUGUAUUAGUUUUAAUUGUUUUUUGUGGGUCCCUUAGGACUUUAUGUAUAUAAAAUUAUGUCAUUUGCAAAUAUAGUUUUAUGCCUUCCUUUCUAGUCUGGUUGCCUUUUAUUUUUUUUUUUCUUGUCUUAACUGCCUUAACUGGA
Molecule: long non-coding RNA, 5557 nt
Organism: Acinonyx jubatus (cheetah)
Lineage: Eukaryota; Metazoa; Chordata; Mammalia; Carnivora; Felidae
Exons: 4
Source: RefSeq, a predicted model, not a curated record